This 1124-nucleotide long non-coding RNA is filed under the name Felis catus (domestic cat). RNAcentral describes it as "lncRNA (ENSFCAG00000052152.1)". The record is from RNAcentral. Lineage: Eukaryota; Metazoa; Chordata; Mammalia; Carnivora; Felidae.
UCAGACACUUCAGAUGAACGCAGUGGCUGAGCCUUUACAUGGAGACCCUGUGGCAGGACUAGUGAGUGCUCAGCUCAGCUUGCCAGCGGGGUGAAUCCCCACUCUUGCUCUUUGUAGAAUAUUCCCCGAGCAACACACAAGUUUCCUCAUGGUUUCCACCCCAAGUAUGCACACCCAUACCCACCUCCACCUGCACACGUGCACACACACACACACACACACCUCCAUCUACACACACACACACACAUACCCCUCCAUCUACACACACACACACCUUCAGACACCCACACCCACCUCCAUACACACACACACACCACACCUCCAUCCACACACCACACACACACACACACACACACACACCUCCAUCCACACACAUACCCCUCCAUCCGCACACACCCCUCCAUCCACACACACACACACACACACACCCCUCCAUCCACACACACACACACACACCCCUCCAUCCACACACACACACACACACCUCCAUCCACACACACACCACACACACACCUCCAUCUGCACACACACACACACACACCACACACACACCUCUAUCCACACACAUACCCCUCCAUCCGCACACACCCCUCCAUCACACACACACACGCACACACCUCCAUCCACACACACACCCCUCCAUCCACACACAUACCCCUCCAUCCGCACACACCCCUCCAUCUGCACACACACACACCUCCAUCCACACACACACACACACACACAACCCCUCCAUCCACACACAUACCCCUCCAUCCGCACACACCCCUCCAUCCACACACACACACACACACACCCCUCCAUCCACACACACACACACACACCCUCCAUCUGCACACACACAGACCCCUCCAUCCACACACACACACACACACACACCUUCAGAUACCCACACCCACCUCCAUACACACACACAUACCUCUAUCCACACACACACACACACACACACACCCCUCCAUCUGCACACACACACACACACGCACACACCUCCAUCCGCACACACACACCUCCAUCUGCACACAGGCACCUUCAGUCCCCCCAUGCUCCCACACCAUCCUGCACACAUACAUACACCCUGCCCCCGGAACUAGGAUGGGGUGAUAGGCCAGGGUGAAAAGUUUCUG